AGUGAACGCUGGCGGUAGGCCUAACACAUGCAAGUCGAACGGCAGCACAGUAAGAGCUUGCUCUUACGGGUGGCGAGUGGCGGACGGGUGAGGAAUACAUCGGAAUCUACUUUUUCGUGGGGGAUAACGUAGGGAAACUUACGCUAAUACCGCAUACGACCUACGGGUGAAAGCAGGGGAUCUUCGGACCUUGCGCGAUUGAAUGAGCCGAUGUCGGAUUAGCUAGUUGGCGGGGUAAAGGCCCACCAAGGCGACGAUCCGUAGCUGGUCUGAGAGGAUGAUCAGCCACACUGGAACUGAGACACGGUCCAGACUCCUACGGGAGGCAGCAGUGGGGAAUAUUGGACAAUGGGCGCAAGCCUGAUCCAGCCAUACCGCGUGGGUGAAGAAGGCCUUCGGUUUGUAAAGCCCUUUUGUUGGGAAAGAAAAGCAGCAGGUUAAUACCCCGCUGUUCUGACGGUACCCAAAGAAUAAGCACCGGCUAACUUC
This 489-nucleotide ribosomal RNA is filed under the name uncultured bacterium. RNAcentral describes it as "partial 16S ribosomal RNA". It matches the Rfam family "Bacterial small subunit ribosomal RNA", at positions 29 to 504 of the family's 1533-position model. The record is from RNAcentral.